GUAUCGACCCGCGCGGUGCCGUAGCCAACGCGUUAAGUUCUCCGCCUGGGGAGUACGCACGCAAGUGUGAAACUCAAAGGAAUUGACGGGGGCCAGCACAAGAGGUGGAUUAUGUGGUUUAAUUUGAUGCUACGCGGAGAACCUUACCAGGGAUUGAACUGCCAAGAAAGAUCCAGAGAUGGGUCUGUGCCCGAAAGGGAACUUGGACAGAGGUGGUGCACGGCUGUCGUCAGCUCGUGAUGCGAAUUGUCAGGUUAAGUCCUUGAACGAGCGUAACCCUUGUUUUCAGUUGCCCGAAAGGGAACUCUGGAAAAACUGCCGAUGUAAAUCGGAGGAAGGAGAGGAUGACGUCAAGUCAGCAUGCCCCUUAUAUCCUGGGCUACACACGUAAUACAAUGGUCGAGACAGCGAGACGCUACCCCGUAAGGGCACGCUAAUCUCUCAAACUCGGCCUCAAUUCGAAUUGUGUUCUGCAACUCGAACACAUGAAGCCGGAAUCUCUAGUAAUCGCCAAUCAGCUAUGUGGCGGUGAAUACGUUCCCUGGCCUUGUACACACCGCCCGUCAAAUGGAGGGAGUGAGCUUCGCUCGAAGCCGUUCAGACUAACCCACAAGGAUGUCAACGUCUACAGCGCGGCUUGUGACUUCUAUUAAGUCGUAACAAGGUAACC
Molecule: ribosomal RNA, 670 nt
Filed under: uncultured bacterium
Lineage: Bacteria
Description: bacterial SSU rRNA
Rfam family: Bacterial small subunit ribosomal RNA
Source: RNAcentral